RNAcentral lists this transfer RNA (72 nucleotides) under Phrynosoma platyrhinos (Desert horned lizard). RNAcentral's name for it is "tRNA-OTHER". Lineage: Eukaryota; Metazoa; Chordata; Lepidosauria; Squamata; Phrynosomatidae. The record is from RNAcentral.
GCCAGUGUGACAUAGUGGUUUGAGUGUUGGACUGACACUCCGGAGAUCAGGGUUCAAAUCCUAGUUCCUCCA